CCCUUAGAUGUUCUGGGCCGCACGCGCGCUACACUGAUGCAUUCAACGAGUUUCUUCCUGGUCCGAGAGGAAUGGGUAACCUUUUGAAAGUGCAUCGUGAUAGGGAUAGACUAUUGCAAUUAUGGGUCUUCAACGAGGAAUUCCUAGUAAACGCAAGUCAUCAGCUUGCAUUGAUUACGUCCCUGCCCUUUGUACACACCGCCCGUCGCACCUACCGAUUGAAUGGUCCGGUGAAAUCUCGGGACGGCGGCUUGGUCGCUUGCGUCCGACUGCUGAAACUUGAUUAAACCAUAUCAUUUAGAGGAAGGUGAAGUCGUAACA
This 321-nucleotide ribosomal RNA is filed under the name uncultured eukaryote. RNAcentral describes it as "partial 18S ribosomal RNA". It matches the Rfam family "Eukaryotic small subunit ribosomal RNA", at positions 1470 to 1796 of the family's 1831-position model. The record is from RNAcentral.